RNAcentral lists this ribosomal RNA (404 nucleotides) under uncultured bacterium. Its description in RNAcentral is "partial 16S ribosomal RNA". It matches the Rfam family "Bacterial small subunit ribosomal RNA", at positions 28 to 526 of the family's 1533-position model. The record is from RNAcentral.
GACGAACGCUGGCGGCGUGCUUAACACAUGCAAGUCGAGCGGAUCGGCGAACGGGUGAGUAACGCGUGAGUAACUGCCCCCCUCCCUGGGGUAACAGUUGGAAACGGGCGCUAAUACCGGUUAGUGGGGGAUGUCUGGCGUCCUAUCAGCUUGUGGGUGGGGUAGGGGCCUACCAAGCCGACGACGGGUAGCCGGCCUGAGCGGGCGACCGGCCACAUUGGGCUGAGAUACGGCCCAAACUCCUACGGGAGGCAGGAGUGGGAAAUAUUGCACAGUGGGGGAAACCCUGUUGCAGCAAGGCACGUGCGGGAUGACGGCCUUCGGGGUGAAAACCGCUUUCAGCCAUGACGCGGUAGUGGCAGAAGAAGCACCGGCUAACUACGUGCCAGCAGCCGCGGUAAUUC